Molecule: non-coding RNA, 30 nt
Filed under: Mus musculus (house mouse)
Lineage: Eukaryota; Metazoa; Chordata; Mammalia; Rodentia; Muridae
Source: RNAcentral
UCAAGAAUCUGCAGAUAAAGUCUCUUUUUG